This 1568-nucleotide long non-coding RNA is filed under the name Homo sapiens (human). Its description in RNAcentral is "HSALNT0337561". The record is from RNAcentral. Lineage: Eukaryota; Metazoa; Chordata; Mammalia; Primates; Hominidae.
GCCAUGGUGACUCAGAGUUGAGGCCAAUGGCGGCUCCACCAUCCUGUGGCUAUGAUUCCUGAACUUGUGGUCUCCUCAGUUGAUGAGGUGAAGAAAGAAAGCCUGGAGAAUUAUGCACGAGCUUCUCACUGUCUCAGCCCACAAGUAACACACCUCUUUCCCUCACAGCCCACACUGGCUGGAACCAAUCACAUAGCCCUGCCUAACUGCAAGGGAGGCCAGAAAGUGCAACACUUUCUCAUGGUCACGGGUGAGCACGAAACAUCUCUCCAAAUAUGGGUUGGGAAGAUUAAGAGACUAGUCCAGAAGAAAACAGUCUCCAGGGAGAAAUAUAUCUGGGAAUAGGAAUCGAGAAAGCAACCAAGAGAGCAGAACUGAGUGGAUGAGAGGAACUGUCAGACCACAUCUGCAGCUCUGAUUAGUCAAAUCCGAAAUGUGCCUGUUGAUCUACUAUUCCGUGGAAAUACUGGAAUCACCAGCUCAAUAAUAAGAGGAAAGCGCUGGAUCCAGGGCAAAAAUGAAGACAUAAGGGACCUUAGGUGACAAGGAAGAAGCUCCCAGGCAGCAUGUGGGAUGGACCCAAGGAGAACGUCAGAGAGAAAGAGUUCAGUCUGGUGUCUCCUGAAGCAGGUUAAAAUUAAGCUCGGCAGGCUCGACGUAAAUGUGCAGACAAAGCAAAGCAGGAAGCCUCCCACACUAAAAAGGGAAGAUAAGAAUCACAGAAGCUGGGAUGGUUUUUAUUGAAGGGCAUUUCAAAGCAAAUACAGACAUCUACAGCAUAUUUGUAAAUCCUCCGUAUGUGUAUGGAAACACACACCUUCACACAUCAAAACUGGAUUUGUUCCUGAGUAACAAAACGUCCUAAGAACAAAAUGAAAGAAAACCAAAUAGCAGAAAAAUACUUCCAAUGUAUAUACCACAAAGGAUUAUUUAUCAACUCAACACACCAAGAGUUAAGAAAAUAAUGCAACAGGAACAAAGGGCAAAGGAUAUGUACUGGGAAGACCACAGAGAAAGAAAAUGCAAAUGGCUAAUAAUAUAAAAUAUUUCCUAGGUUCAAUAGUAAUCAGGGAAAGACAAAAUUACACUUUUGACCUCUUAGACUGGCAGUGACAAAGAUUAUUUGAGUGACCAAGCUUUAGUCAGGCUCCUGGAUCUUCUAGGCCCAUCUGGGCACUUCCUCGUAAAAUACAGUUUUAACAAAAGCCCUGCUAAAUUGGUUUACCGAGAACUCCCACCCUCAAUCGAGUUCCUUAGCCCUUCACCUUUCCUCAGGUGAGGGCUGAUCAUCCUGUCCUGUCUUCAGCAAGACUGCUCUAACGCUGACGUUUCCUUUUAGUAAUUUUCCAUCCACUGACACCCACUUGUAAUUUAUAGCCAAGGAGCAAGAUACACUGCUCCUUGGCUAUAAGUUAUUUUCCCUGUUACAUUCAGAGUUGAGCCCAAUCCCACUCCCCGACUACAAAAUCGAUAGCAGUGGUCCCUAUACCUAUUGCAAUGGUCCUAAAUAAAACCUGCCUUACCGUGCUUGAACAAGUGUCAUCGAAUAAUUUUUUAACAGCAAAUUG